AUUGAACGCUGGCGGCAGGCCUAACACAUGCAAGUCGAACGAGUGGCGGACGUGUGAGUAAUGUCUGGGAAACUGCCCGAUGGAGGGGGAUAACUACUGGAAACGGUAGCUCAUACCGCAUACCAUCGGAUGUUCCCAGAUGGGAUUAGCUAGUAGGUGGGGUAACGGCUCACCUAGGCGACGCUCCCUAGCUGGUCUGAGAGGAUGACCAGCCAGACUGGAACUGAGACAGGGUCCAGACUCCUACGGGAGGCAGCAGUGGGGAAUAUUGCACAAUGGGCGCAAGCCUGAUGAAGCAAUGCCGCGGGUAUGAAGAAGGCCUGCGGGUUGUAAAGUACUUUCAGCGAGGAGGCGUUACUCGCAGAAGAAGCACCGGCUAACUCCGUGCCAGCAGCCGCGGUAAUUC
RNAcentral lists this ribosomal RNA (406 nucleotides) under uncultured bacterium. RNAcentral's name for it is "partial 16S ribosomal RNA". It matches the Rfam family "Bacterial small subunit ribosomal RNA", at positions 30 to 526 of the family's 1533-position model. The record is from RNAcentral.